Symphalangus syndactylus (siamang) is the source of this 3466-nucleotide long non-coding RNA. RefSeq lists it as uncharacterized. The record is from RefSeq and is a predicted model, not a curated record. NCBI's taxonomy places the organism in Eukaryota, Metazoa, Chordata, Mammalia, Primates, Hylobatidae.
UCCUAGCUUUGUGAUUCGGUAUAACUCCUGCCCCUCGUUCUGUCGCAGCCAAUCCGACCUAGACUCGACCAGUCUUGCUUGGAAACGGAGAACUCCAGGUCCUGCGCCUUGAGCACAAAGUAACAACGGGACCCCAGUGUGCUGACCAGGAGAGCCCAAGCCUCACAUUUAGCGUGCAUCAGCUACAACCAACCAACUCUAAAGACUCGGAGAAUAGACAAAGCAGUCCUGAGUUUUAUUCUUCCUGCUUAUAAGGAAUCUCCUGAUGAUUAGGCAGCAUAUUAUACUUGAGGAGAAGCAACCCACUGCUAUCUUUCUCCUCACUUGGUUCAGUAUUCCUGGAAUAUUCAGCUGCAUGACAGGAUGAAGAUCAACAACUAAAUACCAUUUAGCAUUGAUGGUUCAGGACCGUGGACAGCAGCACUCAUGUUGGGAAUGGGGCUUACUGAAAUUGCAGAGUGACUUUGUAAGUUUGGUCUAUCACAAAAUAAAUUUGUUGGCAUGGCUACAAACGGAUAAGGUGCUGGCCAGAAUAUUAAAAUUCAUGGCUGAAUUAAUUUUUUUUUCUUCCCUUCAUGGAGGGGAGGGGAAAAAAAACAUUAACAUUAUCACAAAGAAAGGCUGGCGCGUAGUAGCACUCAAAUACCUUAAACGAAUGAACUUUUCACCUUAAUGAUAAAGAGUGGCUCAAUAUGUAGGCAUAGUUGAUGGCUCUUUUAAAGUGAUCAUUCCAUAUCAAUAACUGCAAAGGAAAUUUGUGUAUUUUUUUACUGUAGUGUCCAUGGUGUCAAUGAAAAUAAGGUUGUCAAAAGUUGAACUGAAAAAGAGGACUGAGUUGAGAUUCAGUCACUAACACAGGAUAAUGCAAAUUAGUUUUAGAUGUAAAAUUAAAAACAUCAUUGGCUAUUUUUAUGACAAAAUUUUAAAAGCCCUUUCAUGGCUUUGUCCAACAAUUUAAAUGACCCUGUCAUCCAUCCUCUGACACAAGUAACUUAAGCGAAAGGUUACUUGAAACUUCACCAAUGGAGGCCUGAAAAUUUAAUAAUAUACUUUUCUGGCAGCAUUCUUUCAUCUUUGUCAUCCGCAAACAGUUCCUAAACAGAAAACAAACUAAUGCUACUCAAAUUUACAUGUUUACAUAAACUCACAUUUCAUGUGUCAUCUGUUCUGAAGAGUCUUUUUCUAAAAUUAGUUCCUACAGUUCUUGAAGUGUGUGACUUUCAUUUUGACACACAAUCAUACAACGGAUCCAACUUCUGCUGCCUGACUCGUAUGUCCUCUGAAAGACAAACAUUGAGAGCUAUGUGAAGUAGUUCACUUACUUUUCUGUUACACCUCAUUACACCUAAAAGGGCUGCCACACAAAUACUGAACACUUACAAAUCAUCUUUUUUCUGGAAUACAAGAGUGCAUCUCUUUGCUUCUUGGCACAUGUAUCUCUGGAGUAUGACAGUACGAUCAGUGAACUUGUCCUUUAAAUUGAUGAGAUGUUAUUAUCACUCCUCUUAGUUUUACCUCAACUGGGAAAUGUUCACAUAACCAUUUAGACGUGUUGCCUUAGAUCAGCAUUUAUCCAACUUUUUCCCUAAGGCAUCCACCUCUGCUGGCAAAAGUGCAUGAAGUAAAGCAGGAUCAAGGAACAUUAUUCCAAGCUGUAGAUGGCAAAUACGACAUUUCUUUGAACUCUCAUGCUUUACUUUAAAAUACAUUAGAAUUAAUUUUGCACUCUAUUCUAUAAUUCAUUCAUUCAACAAAUAUUAGGGGCCUACUGCAUGCCAGGCAUUAUUACAGGGAUACAGUAAUGAAUAAACAUAUCUGUGUUUGUUUUUAACCUAGUAACAUUUUAAUACAACUGGCACGAGUAGAAAAACAAAAACUUUACCAAAUCAAAGAGCAAAACCGAUAAUCCAAGAUGGAACAAUUAUUGCUUCAAAUACCACUAGUCAUGCUAUUGCAACCUGAAAGUAUAUUUGCACCCAUUUGAGCAGCAUAGUCUUGGGCUAAUUCCCAGAAUACAAAGCCAACAGUAAAUAUUUACUCUAGAUGAAAAUAUUUGAGAAUAUUAUUAGAACUAGGUUAUUAGAAGACAACUAGGUUGUCUUCAUUUUACCAUUAGAUUCUGCCUUUAGGUUCUGAAAUGGCAAAGGUGGACAUCCACUUUAAUACCUGGAGAAAUAUAUAAAACAUAUUUUUAAAAAUCACAUGAAGUGGAUGGGAGGUUAUCAUUCCUGACACUUCAAAGUUAAGUCUUGAUUUCAGCACCACAUUGCUAACAAUUGCUUUUUUUUUUAAACCUUAAUCGAGCAGCUUCUUCCAGGUUCUUAUGUAUCUAUCUGCUGAUCAGUUUCAAAAAGAUGGGAAAAGCAAAAUCUCACAUAAGACAAACUUUUGGGUUUCUCUCUGCAUAGAAAUGCAGAACAUUCCUGUUGUUAUUCCAUUCUAUUGGUCUGGGAUCAAGGCUGACGUGAAGAUUCCUUGAAAAGUAUUAAACUCCUCAAUGGUAAUUUUAUCUUAAAUAAUUUGCUUUUUGAUUAUAAGGUCUAACUCCAAUAAUGAAGGAUUAAUAUUGCUGUUUGUGGGUAUGUGGCAUAUGUAUUUUUUUUACUGGAGGCAGCUCUUUGUAAUAGCUUUAUGAAUUUAAAAUAGCACAGCUGAUUUCCUACUGGGGUUAAGAGUCAGUCCUCCAAAACUGUAGUGACUGAAUAACUUUCAUGAAGCCUGGCUCUCCUACCUGGAGCCACAAAGUCAAUCAUCCCAAAUUAUUACAAAGGACUCUAUGUGCACGGAUGUUAAUGCGUUUCUCUUGCAGACAAUCUACAAUCCCCAAAAUUCAAACUCCUUCAGACUGGUUAAUUAGAAAAGAGGUAAAUAAAAUGCCAAAAUAUAUAGACUUCAUGACUACAGGACAGUGGUUCUUAAUCCGGAUUGUGCAUCAGAAUAAUCUGUAGAACUAGUAUGAGAUUUUGCUGUUUUAAAAUUCAGACUGGGGAUCAGUGUUCAUAAAUCUAACCUGAGAGGUGCCUAGGAAUGCAUACCUUUUAGAAACUCCACAAAUGACUCUAAUUUAAAUACUGUAAGACUGCUAUGGUUUGGAUAUUUGUCCUCUCCAAAUGCCACGUUGAAAUUUAAUCCCCAGUGUGAUGGUGUUGGGAGAUGGGGGCUAGUGGGGUGUCUGGGUUAUGGCAGGUAGAUCCCUCAUAAAUAGAUUAAUGCCUUCCUGUGGGGAACAGGGGUGAGGGAGUUCCCACCAAAGCUAGUUUAAAAAAAAAAAAAAAAAAAAACCUGGCACUUCCACCCUCACUCUCUGGCCAUGUGAUCUCUACACACAUAGUGCCUCUUCCCCUUCUACCAUGAGUGGAAGCAGCAUGAGGCCCUCACGAGAUGCAGAUACCCAACCUUCAACCUUCCUGUCAUCCAGAAUUGUGAGCCAAAUAAACUUUUUUUUUUUUUCUGAGAUGGAGUCUUG